This 73-nucleotide transfer RNA is filed under the name Muribaculaceae bacterium. Its description in RNAcentral is "tRNA-Glu". It matches the Rfam family "tRNA". Rfam says of the family: Transfer RNA (tRNA) molecules are approximately 80 nucleotides in length. Their secondary structure includes four short double-helical elements and three loops (D, anti-codon, and T loops). Lineage: Bacteria; Pseudomonadati; Bacteroidota; Bacteroidia; Bacteroidales; Muribaculaceae. The record is from RNAcentral.
GGCGAUUUAGUGUAGUGGUCUAGCACGCCGCCCUCUCACGGCGGAAACUCGGGUUCGAGUCCCGGAUUCGCUA